GCAUGUCUAGUAUAAGCAUUAUACAGCGAAACUGCGAAUGGCUCAUUAUAUAAGUUAUCGUUUAUUUGAUAGUACCUUACUACUUGGAUAACCGUGGUAAUUCUAGAGCUAAUACAUGCUAAAAAUCCCGACUCCGGAAGGGAUGUAUUUAUUAGAUUAAAAACCAAUGCCCUCUGGGCUCCUUGGUGAUUCAUAAUAACUUUUCGAAUCGCAUGGCCUUGCGCCGGCGAUGGUUCAUUCAAAUUUCUUCCCUAUCAACUUUCGAUGUUUGGGUAUUGGCCAAACAUGGUCGCAACGGGUAACGGAGGGUUAGGGCUCGACCCCGGAGAAGGAGCCUGAGAAACGGCUACUACAUCCAAGGAAGGCAGCAGGCGCGCAAAUUACCCAAUCCCGAUUCGGGGAGGUAGUGACAAUAAAUACUGAUACAGGGCUCUUUUGGGUCUUGUAAUUGGAAUGAGUACAAUUUAAAUCCCUUAACGAGGAACAAUUGGAGGGCAAGUCUGGUGCCAGCAGCCGCGGUAAUUCCAGCUCCAAUAGCGUAUAUUAAAGUUGUUGUGGUUAAAAAGCUCGUAGUUGAACCUUGGGCCUGGCUGGCCGGUCCGCCUCACCGCGUGCACUGGUCCGGCCGGGCCUUUCCCUCUGUGGAACCCCAUGCCCUUCACUGGGUGUGGCGGGGAAACAGGACUUUUACUUUGAAAAAAUUAGAGUGCUCCAGGCAGGCCUAUGCUCGAAUACAUUAGCAUGGAAUAAUGAAAUAGGACGUGUGGUUCUAUUUUGUUGGUUUCUAGGACCGCCGUAAUGAUUAAUAGGGACAGUCGGGGGCAUCAGUAUUCAAUUGUCAGAGGUGAAAUUCUUGGAUUUAUUGAAGACUAACUACUGCGAAAGCAUUUGCCAAGGAUGUUUUCAUUAAUCAGGAACGAAAGUUAGGGGAUCGAAGACGAUCAGAUACCGUCGUAGUCUUAACCAUAAACUAUGCCGACUAGGGAUCGGACGAUGUUAUUUUUUGACGCGUUCGGCACCUUAC
This 1024-nucleotide ribosomal RNA is filed under the name Akanthomyces dipterigenus. RNAcentral's name for it is "SSU rRNA". It matches the Rfam family "Eukaryotic small subunit ribosomal RNA", at positions 53 to 1091 of the family's 1831-position model. The record is from RNAcentral. Lineage: Eukaryota; Fungi; Ascomycota; Sordariomycetes; Hypocreales; Cordycipitaceae.